AUGGCCUCUCCCUUCCCUCGUCGAUGCUUCUCUCCAGUUCCGCCUCUCCCGCGCCCCAGCGACACCCCCUUGCAGCGACCUUGGCCGCCGCCGGCAAGCCCUCUGCGACCUCCUUCGGCCCCCUCCAUCAGCUCCUCCGCACGCGCUGCCGUUUGCCGGUUCCCGGCCGGAUCCCGCCUGCAGGGCCCCGUCCCCACCUCCGGCGCGCCAAGCUCACCGCCUCUGCCUCUUGUAGCCUCCGCUCGAUCGGGAGAGGAGCUCCCGAUCCUUGCACCGCUCGUCCCCAUCGUUUUGGGCCGGAGCUCGCUGAGGCCCUAG
RNAcentral lists this ribosomal RNA (318 nucleotides) under Triticum aestivum (bread wheat). RNAcentral's name for it is "partial small subunit ribosomal RNA". Lineage: Eukaryota; Viridiplantae; Streptophyta; Magnoliopsida; Poales; Poaceae. The record is from RNAcentral.